UUCCUAGAAUUCCUUAUGUAUUCAAAGAUUCCUUUUAAAUUGAAUAUGCUGAAACCUUUAUAACAAGCUUAUAAAUGUCAAAAACUUUAAAGUAAAUCGCCAAAUCUGGAAGCAGUAGCGUAAAAAGUGACAAAAAUUCUGUUUGCUACAGUAAUUUCCCGAAAUGAAAAUUAAGAUCCUGAUCAAUUGGUCAUAGGUUUGCGGAUAAAAUCAAUUGGGAUUUGUGUGCAAUGAGAAGCUGCUUCUUUUGACACCAAGUUUUUGUAAAUCCACCACCGGACGCCGGAGUCAUGGCCAAAAAAUGGUGACGAAAAUACUAUUCACAGAGAGAAAGUGAGUGAAAGGGGAGGGAGAAGAGAGAGAACUUACUUCGGGGGUCGCCGGAGGGGGAGGGGGG
RNAcentral lists this long non-coding RNA (397 nucleotides) under Nicotiana benthamiana. RNAcentral describes it as "long non-coding RNA (NBEN_LNC041942)". Lineage: Eukaryota; Viridiplantae; Streptophyta; Magnoliopsida; Solanales; Solanaceae. The record is from RNAcentral.